CUGACGAUUUUUCCCUCAGGCAGUAUUGCAAUUUUGUGCCAGAACUGUUGCUAAGGGCAUUGCCAAGGACACUCUGGGCUAUCUGAAGACUCUGCUCUCAGCUGCCUCCUUCCCUCCCUCUCCUUUUUCCAGAGAAGAACUUGAAACGGGCUUCAUUGAAAGGUGCUUGAAACUCAGAAAGACAUAACCUCAUCCUACAUUCGCCGCUCAGCAGAACACCAAACAAAACACAAUCAAUAAUCUAGUGUGCCGCUUUAAACAAAUUCCUGUGGAAAAAUUGCUCUGCUUGAGAUCUGCACUUGGUCAUUCCAGCAGUAGAGGUAUUGCAUUUCCUGGGACGGGGAAAGGCAUCGCUGCUGAUCUGCCCCUUCUUUCAAAUGCUGCUGUUGCCCCCAUGCACAUUGCCAGGACUCGUGCAGAGACAUCCUUUUCAUUGCACUAUGACGAUCUGUGCUCAGGGUGCUUGUGGGGUGGUCAUGUUGGUCCCGCUUUCAGUACAGUAUUUGCU
Molecule: long non-coding RNA, 508 nt
Organism: Podarcis raffonei (Aeolian wall lizard)
Lineage: Eukaryota; Metazoa; Chordata; Lepidosauria; Squamata; Lacertidae
Exons: 3
Source: RefSeq, a predicted model, not a curated record